RNAcentral lists this ribosomal RNA (468 nucleotides) under uncultured bacterium. RNAcentral describes it as "partial 16S ribosomal RNA". It matches the Rfam family "Bacterial small subunit ribosomal RNA", at positions 28 to 507 of the family's 1533-position model. The record is from RNAcentral.
GACGAACGCUGGCGGCGUGCUUAACACAUGCAAGUCGAACGGAAAGGCCCUGCUUUUGCGGGGUGCUCGAGUGGCGAACGGGUGAGUAACACGUGAGUAACCUGCCCUUGACUUUGGGAUAACUUCAGGAAACUGGGGCUAAUACCGGAUAGGAGCUCCUGCUGCAUGGUGGGGGUUGGAAAGUUUCGGCGGUUGGGGAUGGACUCGCGGCUUAUCAGCUUGUUGGUGGGGUAGUGGUUUACCAAGGCUUUGACGGGUAGCCGGCCUGAGAGGGUGACCGGCCACAUUGGGACUGAGAUACGGCCCAGACUCCUACGGGAGGCAGCAGUGGGGAAUAUUGCACAAUGGGCGGAAGCCUGAUGCAGCAACGCCGCGUGCGGGAUGACGGCCUUCGGGUUGUAAACCGCUUUCGCCUGUGACGAAGCGUGAGUGACGGUAAUGGGUAAAGAAGCACCGGCUAACUACGUG